RNAcentral lists this long non-coding RNA (501 nucleotides) under Malus domestica (apple). RNAcentral describes it as "long non-coding RNA (MDOM_LNC016640)". Lineage: Eukaryota; Viridiplantae; Streptophyta; Magnoliopsida; Rosales; Rosaceae. The record is from RNAcentral.
AUAGGACCAACUCUUUGUUGAGGUGGAUCUUCAAAUAACACUCACCCUUUACAAAUUUCCUAACAACUGUGAUGACUAAAGGGUUUGGAGUUGUCCUCCAUAUACAAUUCCUCCGCUUAGCGUAUCUAUAAACUAUAAUUACAAAAAUUAAAGGAAAUUAAUUUAUGAAAUUAAAUGUAAUAUAAUUAAAUAUUUAAAAUAAGUUGCGAAAACACUUACUUCGUCUUAGCAAUUGGCUCCGCUUUUCAUGUCUUCUUGUGGCCUUAAAAACUUCACCAUUUUAGUGUGGUCCUUAUAUAAAUAUAGGGUUUUUAUCAUAAAUAGUCUUUGAAAUUGAUCUACACCAUCAAAAUGGUUCCUGAAUUUGAAAAUCGAUUAAUAUAGUCCCUGAAAAUGGAUAUCGCAAAUUAAUGUAGUCCUUCCGUAAAAAAUUCUGUUAUGUGAUGAUGUGACACAUAACUGGAUCCCCCAAUCUAUUUAAAUAUUGUCCAUGUGGAUUUA